This 252-nucleotide ribosomal RNA is filed under the name Armillaria borealis. Its description in RNAcentral is "partial 26S ribosomal RNA". It matches the Rfam family "Eukaryotic large subunit ribosomal RNA", at positions 3145 to 3401 of the family's 3401-position model. Lineage: Eukaryota; Fungi; Basidiomycota; Agaricomycetes; Agaricales; Physalacriaceae. The record is from RNAcentral.
UGCUAGAAACGAUGAUGUUGGUGUCGCACAUUAGACUUGUGUUUAAAUAGAGCUUUGCUCGUGAACCAAAUAUGGUGGGCUGGGUUGUCUUUGUGGAAACGCUUAGGCGACUUGUCUACGAAUUGUAAUCAUAAUAUGGGCGGCGGUGAAUCCUUUGCAGACGACUUGAAUGGGAACGGGGUACUGUAAGUGGUAGAGUAGCCUUGUUGCUACGAUCCACUGAGGUUAAGCCCUUGUUCUAAAGAUUUGUUC